Molecule: non-coding RNA, 452 nt
Organism: Biomphalaria pfeifferi
Lineage: Eukaryota; Metazoa; Mollusca; Gastropoda; Planorbidae
Source: the annotation of a GenBank genome assembly
AAAAAAAAAAAAAAACUAAGAAAGAAGUAACCUGUCAUGACCUGAAUUGUGUAGAAAUGCCUUUGAUCAUUUAGCAAAAGUAAACAAAUGACAGUUUCACUUUUUAAUUCCGGUGUUCUUAAACAUUUAGUCUGCACCACUGACUGGAGUUUCAAGCACCACAUGACAGGGUUUAGAAAAAAACAACCACCUUUUACUUGUUAAUAGCUAAUUCAUUAAUCUUUGUGAAGUCAAAGUCCUGCAGGGUUUGUUUGUUUUUUUCUUACAAUAUUCUUGUACAUUAAAUCAUGAAUUCAUGUCAUUAAUCACCACAAACUGAAGCUGAUGUACAUUAAAACUUUUUGCUGAAUUUAAUGUCUUACAAUAUUUUGAAGUUUCUUUCCAUCCCUGUACUGGUUUAUGAAAAACUUUAGUUUCAAUGGUCUCAUUUAUAAAUAAAUAAAAUGUUCAAC